Molecule: long non-coding RNA, 16300 nt
Filed under: Populus tremula
Lineage: Eukaryota; Viridiplantae; Streptophyta; Magnoliopsida; Malpighiales; Salicaceae
Description: long non-coding RNA (PTRE_LNC000470)
Source: RNAcentral
UUGAAGCUAUAGACGAUGAGAAGCUGUCAACCACCUUCAAAGUGAUUGAAGGAGAGAUCACCACGGAGUACAAGAAUUUCACAGCUAUCGUUCAGGCUACUCCCAAGGGAGAGGGCAGCUGCUUGGCUCACUGGACUUUUGAAUAUGAGAAGCUAAAUGAGAACGUUCCAGAUCCUCAAACGUUGCUUGAGUUUUGGAUCCAUUGCAGCAAAGACAUUGAGGAUCAUCACCUUACCCAGCUACCAACAGCACAGGCAUGAACGAUCGGUUAGUAUCAUAUGCGUGCAAGCUGCUGCUGCUGUCUUUAAUUUAAAAUGACUCCUCUCAUGAAUGAAUACUAAGAAGCGGGGUGCUGGGGACAGGCGUCUGUUCUUCUAUAUUAAUGUAUUUUAAUUUAUCAAUAAACUUGUGUACGUGGGGUCUACUGAAACUCUCUCUGCGUUGCUGUGCGAUUUGAUGUAAAAAGGGCUUUGUGUGAAGUUAAUGCAUGCUUCGAUGUGUGAUUCAAGAUGUUGAAAGUCUCUCCUCCUAUCAUUUUUUAUUCUUUUCAAUCAAGAUUUUUAUUCUUGCGAUUUCAACUAUUGACAGAGGAAAUCAAAUCCACAAGACCAACCGACUAUUUAGCAUAUAAAAUUAAAAAAAAAAAAUCAAUCUAUAUAAACCAGCUAAGCUCCUCUAACUCUGCCGUUUCAAUCAGUUGUUUAGAAGUGAAUAGUAGUUUUUAAAGUGAUUUUUUAUUUGAAAAUAUAUUAAAAUUAUUUUUUUAAAAUAUUUUUUAUAUUAGUAUAUUAAAAAUAUUAAAAAAUAAUUUAAAAUAAAAAAUAAAUCUUUUUAAAAAUACUUUUAAAACAUAAUAAAAAUCUCACGGUAUAUAAACAAAAUUCAAAUCUGAAAAGUCCAAAUCUUACAAUCACUCCCACAACUGCAAGUCCCAAAUACAAAUCCCUCGACCAUUUAUGUUGUAAAUUAUUGUGAAAGUGGAUGGAAAGUGACGAAUGUGACUUUCACGUGUGAUUGCUUGUAUCUUCUCUUUAUUUUUGUAAUCUAUUUGCUUUAUUUUCUGCUCUCUGUUUUUUUUUUUAAUUCCGUGAUAGGAACAUGAGAAUCUCGUACGAAUUUGGAUGGAUCUUAAUUUGAUUUCAUGAUGGAUUAAAUCGAAUUAAACAAUGUUUUAAGAUAAUUGAUGAAAGCUUUCUUUUUAUCCAGGAGUUAAUGAUGUUGGAACAAAUAGUUUGUAAAAUUGAACCCAAAGUCUAAAUAUAUUAUUUAUUUCUCAAUUAUACAUUUCGUGGAUAAUAAAGAAGCAGUGCUCGAUGUGCGGUAGCUAUGAUCUGUACUAAUGGUAAGAAAAUGCCAUUCUAUCUUUGCUUGAACAUCCCCAAUAAUCUUACGAGUCCGAUACCCUAUUAAUUAAUUAAAUGUUCUUAAAUUUAUAAUGGAGAUAAAACACAAACAGCACCACCUUUACAGCAAUCGGUUUUGAAUAAAUCCAAGGGCUAAGGUCACCGACAUACAAUGUUUUUUAAAAAAACAAAAAAAAAUAUUUUUUUAAUAUUUUUUUAAAUAAAAAAUACUUUAAAAAACAUAGAUCUUUUAGUAGGACAAUUAUAAAAAUAGAUCAUACUGUGGAAAUAUGGAAUAAUGUUUUUCAUGAUAUAGACUUGCAAAGAAAAUCAUAGGCAAAUGCCUCGUAGACUGGAUAAAUCCAGGUUCUACGAUCUUGAAACUGAACAUAAUCCAGAGAGAUAAAUUAUUAAUCACGGAUCGAUGUUGGAAUUUUUUGUUUAUAUCACAACCUGUACAUAUGAGCCUCAAAAGGUGGUGGACCGUCAUUCGAGUCGGCGAGGCAUCCGUCGCUUACCCAACAGUCUCCGCACGAGUCCACUUCCCAGCCUUCAAGUCGUCCCUCCGUGCACAGAGCCUCAAAUAGGUGGUGGAUCGUCAUUUUUUUGUUUAUAUCACAACCUGUACAUAUGAGCCUCAAAUAUUUGUGAUGAUUUUGAUUCUUGAGUAUAGGGCUUGCCAGCAUCCAGGAAAUAAUCGGUUCCUUGCUCAUCAACUACACCACCUCGGUCUACAUCAGUGUCAAAAACAAUUAAAAACCAAAAAAAUAAGUAAAAUAUAUUUAUUAAUUAUAUUUUAUGAAAUAAAAAUUAAUUCCACUUAAUAAAAGACUUCAAAUAUAAAUUGAAGAUUACUCGGGACUACUUAUCAGAAUUAAAUAAAAAAUAAUAAAAAAUAUUUCUUAAAUAUUUUUAAAAAUCUUUAUUUAUAAUUUUGCUUAAGGUCUUUAUUUACCUUAAGCCGACUCUGAUUCAAGUUGCAAUUAACAUAUAAGAAGUGGAUGAAGCGAUGAUUAAGUGUGUGUUCAGUUUGGUGAAGGAGGGUGAGUGGUGUGCUAUGAAAGUUUGAGUAUAUGGUUAUAUUAGAGUUUUAAUUUUUAGGCUUGCUAAAAGUAAAGGAAUAUCUUUCAUUUUAAUAUAUUUUAAAUUUUAUUCUUUUACUUUUUGGAUUUUAUUUAAUUUUUUUUCUUACUGUAAAGAAAAAAUAAAUUAAUAGAACUUUUGUUACAUUAUACAAAAAUUCAGUAAUAAUACUUUUUUUUAUUCGAGAUUGGAUUGAAUUUUUUUAUUAAAACAUGAUUAUUUUUGUGUUUUAAAAAUAUAUUUUUAAUAUUUUUUUAUUUAUUAUUUCAAAUUAAUACUUUUAUAUCAUUUUAAUAUAUUAAUAUAAAAAAUAAAUUUUAAAAAAUAAAAAAAAUAUUUAAAAAAACAAUUACUAUUUAAUAAUAAUAAUAAUAUAUAUAUAUAUACACGCGCGCGCAGCAAUAUUAUCUGAUACAUGAAGUUUGAUAUCAUCACCAGUGCACGAUUUUUUAUGCCCUUACAUCUCUGUCGCCAGAUACGGAGAUAAGUAUUAGUUAUUUAAAAUAUCAUUUAUUUUGAGGACAAGCUUGUCCCUCUGACUUAAAUGCCAUAGCUGCCCAAGUUGUUGUCAGCAAUUGAAUACUUUUUCUAGGGUAGAAAUCCUUGAUUUAAUAGUGUUGGGCUGCAUUCUUGUCAGGACAAGCACAUUGCAGUGGAUUUUUACUUCGACGGAGAUCAUGUUACCAAGAAGUAUUUGCAAGUGGAGUGUAUAUCUUUUGUGAUGGACGGUAGAUAUGAUGUUUAAGAAAAAAUGGCGACGUGGACGAUGAAUACCCACGUCCACGUCUUUAUAAGGAUAAGAUCCCAAAGCAUUUUCCCGACAACUGCUAUAAUUGAUUACAAAUUGAUGUCAUAGUCUAACAAAGAAUGGGUAUUAAUUAUUAAAAGAGCUUGUUCAACAAUCACAAGACAUAUCUAAGCAAUUAGGUGGACUUGGUUGGCAAAGAUACAAGGAAAUAUUCAAAUAUAUUAAAAAUUAUAAUUACUUAGUUAUUAUUAUAAAUUGAAUAAGAUAGCAAUAUCUUGAUCGAUUCAUUAAACUUUUUUUAUUAAAAUAGUUUAGUUCUUAUUGGCCGAGCUACUUGAAUAAACCAAAAAACUUUUAUUUUAUUUUAUUCAGAUCCAAUUACUAUGCAAUUCAAUCUUUUUUUCAUUCAAUGAAUUAACUUUCCAGCUCCACGCUUUAAUUCUCGGGUUUGUUAUAUCUUUCUGACAAGAAUUAGACUGCAGACAUUUCAGUUAACAUGCCCUUGAAAUCUUAUUGGAUUGAGGAGCGAAUUUUAUUAUAACAAAAUGGCCACAUUUCAAAAAUAGUAAGCAGAGUAAGAGAAUCAUCUAUGUAUUUAUCCAUAAAUGAUACAAAAAAUAUAAAAAAAAGGGAGGCGGGGGAGAGAAACCCGCAAGAAAACCAACUAGAUAGAAUUAAAUAUAGAAAACCCUAAAUAAUGGAGGUCAAUAAUUGAUCUCUUCAUUUACUAGUCUAGGUGUAUAGUUAUCCCACGUCUUUAUAAGGACAAGAUCCCAAAGCAUUUUCCGUACAACUGCUAUAAUUGAUUUUGUUUUCUCAAAGCUUACACUGUUUAUAGUUUGAUUACCUGCGCAGCAAAAUGACACUCUUCGGUAAGAUGGAGGCUGAAGUAGAGAUCAAAGUUUCUGCGGAAACAUUUCAUGAUAUCUUCAGCUGCAGACCACACCACAUUUCCAAUAUGAGCCCUGCCAAGAUACAGAACGUUGAUCUCCAUGAAGGUGAAUGGGGGAAGCCGGGCACUGUAAUCUGCUGGAGUUAUGUACAUGGUAAGGCUGUGUCGUCAUAGAUCAUCCCUGACCGAAAACAUAUAUAUUAAGGAUUGCACUGCUCCUUAAUCAUAUAUAUAUAUAUAUAAAUAUAUGAUUACUAACAAUAAGUUUACAUCAUAAUUAGUCUACAAUUUUGUUUAUUUCUUAGAUGGCUUAUAGCAUGAGGAAGUGACUUGGGUUAUUUUUGUAUACGCUCGAUUUGAUCAUUAAUUCUCGAUCAGCUAUGAUCAAUCCAUUGUUGUAGAAAUUUUAUGACUUUCUGGUUGAUGAAAGGUUAACCUCAUAUACAUUUUCAGAAACAAAUUAUUAUUAAGAGUAGGAUGACAUAUCAAGGCAGUGAUUCAUGACUGACGUUUAAUUUAUUUUUUAUGCAAAAAAAUUAAUAGAUGGGGUUGCGAAGACUGCGAAGGAGGUUAUUGAAGCUAUAGACGAUGAGAAGCUGUCAACUACCUUCAAAGUGAUUGAAGGAGAAUUUCAUAAUUCUUUCACCUUGUCAAUCACAAGUCGGAAUCUUCAUUUGCCCCUUGAAAAAAGCUCACGCUAUCUCAUCUAAAUUAUUUGACGUCCCUUCGUUAAGAUAAGGUCUUAGAAAAGAAUGGAGGGCUGAUAAUUACAAAGUCUAGGCCUAGUAAUUACGAAGUCCUCUUUUUUAUUGCCAUCCCUGCACCAAUCAUAUCAUUCAAUAGCAUACCCAAGUGGUUGACGGUUUUAUUCUCUGAAUCAACAUGAAAGAUUGUUAAGUUAUUGUGCUCUCCUUUUCUUCCGAGCUCUAAUACUAAUGGUUAGAAAAUUAAAAUACACAAGUUUCUGAACCUAUAAUGGUUGAAAACUAAAACACACUAGUAUUUGAACUCCCAAGCUUUUAUUUAUUGAUAUUCAAUCCUCUUGAAUUUCGCAUACAUUAAUCGACCCAUAUAUUUACAAAUAGAUUGUAACAUCUUGCUAUCAUAAUCUAAUAAAUUUAUAAUUAACUAGUUAAACAAAGAUUAUGAAUACAAAUCAUGUUUAAUCUAGGGAACCGUUUCUCAUCUCGAUAAAAAACAUUGCACAUUUUGAAGGGUUCUAUCCGAAUUGUACCCUCUUUUUUAUUCUUUGCAAGAUAUGAUGUUGUUUAGAAAACUUAACGUUUUCUAUAUAAAAAAAAAAUCUGGUAGGUUUCAAUUGAAAAAUCAAAAUUGUUUGGAGAUAAAUUAAUACAAAAAAUCGUUUGAGGACAAAAUUGAUGCCAAGGGGCAUUUUUAAGGUUUGCGCUUUUUUUUUUUUUGUGUGUGAAUGUCAAGUUCAGGUUAACUGGAGUGCUGUUUUCUUGACUGCAAAACAGAACCAAUCAACGACGCAGCUAAUUCUGAAGAUCAAAGUAAAUGGAGGAAUAGCAAGUACAUAACCAUGAUCAAUUUCCGAGAUCGUUAAAUGGUCUUUGAAUUUCAGAGAUAAGAAAUUAUCUUUAAGCUCUUGGAAUUUAAUGUUUUUUUUUUUUUUUUUACAUUAGUCCGUAUGUCUUGAAGCCAACACAAUAAUCCCUAGAGUCUUACUGCGUGGUUAAAUUAACAGGUCCCAACGUGGCCUGUAGUUUGACUCUCUCUCUUGUUUCUUCAGCUAAAUAUAUGUGCUUAAUUAGCACUAAAACCAGACCUAGGAACGCAAUCGUAUUUCGAUGAAAAAGAAGACGAGAUCUGAAUGAUUCGGCAGAAGAUUUCACUCGAAAGCUUUUGUAUUACAUUCAAAAUACAUCAUUAAUUUGAUUACUUGGUCGUAGUUAAGGCAACAAUCAAGGAUUUAUAACAAUUAUGAUCCUAAGAUUAGCUUUUUACCUUAAAGAAGCGAAUAGCAUCAUUAUUCACUUCAUAGCAAAUCAUUUUUAAGUGAUCGUAAAGGACAUUUAUUAAUUAUUUCAUGAAAUUAACCCGUGUUUUUUCUUUUCUUUUCUAAUUUAACUCAUUCUCCCACAUACCAGUUAUUAAUAAUACUUUCGUCGUACUAAAUUCAUCAUCAAAUUCUCUCAUCCAUGCGAAGAACUAAUCUUGAAGCCUCCAUUGUAGGAUCUUUAAAUCACAAAAGAAAUUAUAAUUGCCGGGAAAAACAGAACUUUAAAUGGUGGGAUAUUAGUUAUAUCGCCACUAUCAUUGUCACUCUCUAUACAGACCAUCAAUAUAUUGGCCACUUAUUAUUUCCUUUUUGUUUUCUAUAUGAUCUAUCACAUUAAAUUAUCACAAUAUAUCUUGGAUUUGGCAAAUCCUAGUGACAGUGACAUUAUAGUGACAGUGACAUUAAAUUAUCACGAGCCUUGCAUUUUUUGCAUGAGCUGUACAAUAUCGAUUAUAAUAAGUUUGAAGAUUUUUCUUUAAAAAAAUCUAUUUGGUAGGGAUUGCAUGGAUUUUACAUGUUUUUUUAUUGGAGAUGAAUUCGCUGAGAAAGGAACACGGUAAUGGAAUAGAUAGACGGAAAAUUGCAAACGUUUUGCACGUUUGUUGAAAUUUUGGAAGUUUCUUGAGACUCUACUCGGCUUCAAAAUCUUGAUGAGUUCUUGUUGGAUAAUAUAUCAGCCUUUGAUGAUUCAUAUGAUUUUCUAAAUAAAAAAAUGACUCAAAUGAAAAUAAAAAGAAAAAUAAUAUAUUAAAUUUGUGGGGAUGUAACUAAUUUUUUUUUAAAAAAACAUAGUUUAUUAAGGAUACUAAGAGCGCAACACUCGAUAAAAAGGAAAACCUAACGAAUGCUCCAAUGUUAAUUAUUAAUCCCAACUACUUUUCAAUGCUUAAUAUUCUAUUCAAUUUUCUGUUGAAGAUAAUGCAUUCCAAUUAUUUUCGAGUAUUACUAUUACCCACACAAAAUCAACGGAAAUGACAGGCACGCAAAAUAUGUCUUGUAAUCUACCAACUCCAUUGCUAAUUCACAAAUCAAAACAGUUACAGAACACAUGCAAGCCAGCUGUAAGCAGAAACUGAGUGGCUAGCACACAAAGACAAGUCAGCCAAAUACUAUUUUACCGGCUUUGUUGACUUUUUAUAAAUUUCUUAACAGUUAAAAUACUUUUUUUUCUUCCCCAAAAUCAAAAGUUUAUUGGGCUACUGGUCAGAGAUGUUAUGAUUCAUGUACAGUGGAAGCAUGCUUUUAACCUUAGAAAAGAUAUAUAAACAAUAAACUGGUUUUGUGGAUAUUUUUGUAUUUUUAUACAGAUAUUUUAUGUAAUUAAUAUAUUUGUAGCAUUUUAGUAUUUUUAUAUUUUAUUUUUAUUUUUUAUUCAUAAAUAUGUUAGAGCGUGUUUCAAACACAUUAGUAAAUUAGUAAAUAAAUGAUGUUCUAGCCAUUUAAGGUGCGUGUGACACCAUUCGAUAGUUAAAUUUAACUAUUCACUAUCUCACUGUAUACAUAAUUAUCUUCUUUUUUAUAUAAUGUGGCAUAUUUAGGCGUGUGAUGGUUGAAUUAUAGCAGGUGGUUGUUUGUUUUUUUUCUCUCUCUCUAUCUCUUGAUAACUAAUGUAUAUCAUUGUUCUUUUUGUUAUUUAAUUUUCAAUUUUAAUCAUUAUUUUUUUAAUUUUUAAUUUUGUUUUUAUUCUUUUUAUAUAAGUUUUUUUUCUUUCAAUCUAGUCAUUCAAUUACAAUUUCUCAUGUGUUUUGUUUUUCAUUUCAAUCCUCAUUCUUUUAAUUUCUUAUUUUUAUUUAUUUUAUAAUUUUUUUUUAAAAUUUAGUCCUUCAAUUAUAAUUUAUGUAUAUUAUAUUUUUCAUUUCAGUCAUUCUACUUUUAAAUUUAUGGUUUUUAAUUUUAUUUUUCAAACCAAGUUUAUGAUUUUUGUUGUUUCAAUAAUAAUAAUAAUGGUUACAAUGAUAAUAAUACUAAUAAUAAAAAUAAUAAUAAUAAUUAUUAAUGAUAGUAAUAAUAGUAGUAAUUAUAAUAAUAACGAUAAAACAGUAAUAAUUAUAAUAAUAAUGAUGAUAAUUCAUCAUUCGAUGUAAAAUUUGUUUAGAAUUGAGUUUUAUUAUUUUUUCGUGCAUGAUAGUUUCAAUCUAAUAUCUCGAGCUACUGUUUUAAAAAGUUUGUGUAGCUUGAUGUUCUCUUUUAUUUUUUAUAUUUUUUUAAUUUAUCGUUUAACGUUAGCUUUUUAAAAUAAAAAAAGGUCUUCUAAAAUUCUUUUAUAUAUUUUAUUGGAAACCCGUGCAAGGUAAAAGAUCCAAAAUAAAAGAUUUAAAAGUUUAUCUUGCAUUGCAUAAUAAUUAUUUUACUCUUGAUAAUUGUAUUUUUUUUUUUACGUUUUAAAACAAUGGUUCAGCCAGCAGCAAAUCACUAGAACGUAAAAUAGUAUUACAUCAUUUUUUUAGUUAUACCCUUUUUGCAGUUUGCACGGUCAAGGCGUCAGACCUCGUUAAAAGCACUCAAAACCCACCCUUUUUACUGUAUUCCACGUCAAAUUAGUCUCAACAUUGAGAGAAUUAUUUGAAACAUUAGCCAAUUUAUCUUUGUUUCCCUCUUCAAGUUUUAUCAAAAAUUGAAUUAGGGUGGUUCCAGUUAGAGCCGGCCAGGGCAUAUAGGUAAUUUAGGUAAUGGUUCAAUACCCUCACUUAACAAAAAAAUCCCUCAAGAAUAAGUGAAAUAUAUUUAUUAAUUAUAUUUUAUGAAAUAAAAAUUACCUCAACUUAACAAAAGACUCUAAUAUAUAAAAUGAAGAUUUCUCAAUUCCCUACUUGUCAGAUAUACAUAAAAAAAAUAUAUCUUAAAAUUUUAAAAAGUUUUAUUUAUAAUUUUGCCUGAUAUCCAUAUUCACCUUAAAUCGAUUCUAAUUUAAGUUACGAUGGACAUAGAAGGAAUGGAUAAAGUGGUGUUCAAGUAUGUGUUCGGAAUGGUGCAGGAGAGAGAACAUGGGUCAUGAAAGUUUCGAGUCAUUGGUUAUAAUGAUAGAUUUCUAAUUUUUAGGCUUGCUUUUAAAGUAAAAGAAUAUUUUUCUCUUUAAAUUUUUUUCCUUUUAAAAUAUUUUUAAUUUUAUUUUUCUUCUUAUGCUUGUUUCAAUAUUUUAUGCUUGUUUCUAGAUAGGGAGAUCAAAUAAAUUUCUAAUUAUUAUUAGUUAUUUAAAAUAUCAUUUAUUUUGUGGACAAGCUUGUCCCUCUAACUUAAAUGCCAUACCUGCACAUAUAAUUUCGCAAUAAAUUAUUGCCGACUCCUAUUAAUUAUUUAAACUUCUCAAUUGUUUCCCCUGUUGUCUUCAAGCUGCAUGUAUAGGCCAUAAAACAUAAUGUACUUGUUCCUACUAAUUGACUGUACUUGUUCCUACUAAUUGACCUCUCACUGAACUCCAAUUUCGUGUUAUAUAAGCUGUACUAUUUUCUAUGUAUAAAUAAAAUUCAAGUUCAAGAAUUUUGAAUAAUAAUUGAAAUAUUAAUAUCCAUUGAGCUACAGCCUAUUGACGUAUCUCUGCUGUGUCAAUUUAUUAGUGUUGGGCUGCAUUCGUGCCAAACAUGCAAAUCGACAAAGCACACAUGCAUGAUUUCCACAAAGACGGUGUAAAAUCAUGAUUUUUUUUUCAUAUCAUCUUAAAUUGACAUUUUGAUGUAGGAUAUGUAUAAUAUAUUUAGAAAAUAAAUAAAUUAUAUUUUAAUACUUCACUUAACAAUUUAAGUUUUUGAAUUGAAUUAAUUUUUUAAUAAAUUAUUGAAACCUUGAUAAUCAAACAGUCACGAGUUUAAAUUUUACCAUAUUUAUUUAUUAGAUAAAAAUUAAACACAAAAUAAUAUGAAUUUAUUCAAGUUUUAAAUCAAAAUAAUAUAACAACGUUGGGUCUAUUACCAUGCCAAACCCUGGCAUAGAAAGCAAUGCUUCCAGCAACAAUGUUUGACCAAAAACACAACUAAGAAACGGCUUCCAGGUUGCUACAAUGUUGUCGACGUUGAAAGUAAUUUAUGCCUACAAUACCGUCUACAGUAUAAUGUGUUUAUGACACGCACAAGGCAACACCCUCAACCACAAAUCUUGAUUAAAAACAUAGUAGAGAAAUGCUCAUUUCUGGCGCUAUAAUGUUGUUCAUAGUACAAAUAUUUUAAGUCUAUAAUAUCAUUCAUAUUGCGAAAGCAAAUAUACAAGUACACAAUUAAAUGUCUGUUGAUGUAUGAUGCAUGUACAGUAGAAAUCCCACAACAAUGCAAAAGUAACAGUACAAGUUCACAAUUAACUGGCUCUUGAUGUACAGUAUAUGCAUAUACAAUAAAAUUAAUUGUGUUUUUUGUUCACAGUGCAUUUAUGAAUAGUAGAAAUCUAAAAUAUCUUAGAGUUUUGUGAAUGUAAUUAUCCCACGUAGGGAAAGAAUUGAUCUCAUCAUUUACUAGUCUAGGUGUAUAAUUAUCCCACGUCUUUAUAAGGAUAUGAUCCCAAAGCAUUUUUGAUAUCUCAAAGCUUACCUGUUUAUAGUUUGAUUACCUGCGCAGCAAAAUGACACUCUUCGGUAAGAUGGAGGCUGAAGUAGAGGUCAAAGUUUCUGCUGAAACAUUUCAUGAUAUCUUCAGCUGCAGACCACACCACAUUUCCAAUAUGAGCCCUGCCAAGAUACAGAAUGUUGAUCUCCACGAAGGUGAAUGGGGGAAGCCGGGCACUGUAAUCUGCUGGAGUUAUGUACAUGGUAAGGCGGUGUCGUCAAAGAUCAUCCCUGGCCAAAAAAAUACUAAGGAUUGCAGUGCUCAUGCUACUUAAUAUUCAUGUAUAGUGAGGCUGUGUCUUCUUGGUUUUGAUCAUAUAUAUCUUCAUGAUCUAUAGUUCUGUCUUCAUCCAUUGUUUUAGAAAUUUUAUGACUUUCUGGUUGAUGAAAGGUUAACCUCAUUUACAUUUUCAGAAACAAAUUAUUAUAAAGAGUAGCAUGACAUGUCAAGGCAGUGAUUCAUGAGUACUGACAUUUAAUUUAAUUUUUAUGCAAAAUAAAUUAAUAGAUGGGGUUGCUAAGACUGCGAAGGAGGUUAUUGAAGCUAUAGACGACGAGAAGCUGUCAACCACCUUCAAAGUGAUUGAGGGAGACAUGAUGACCACGGAGUACAAGAGUUUCACGGCUAUCGUUCAGGCUACUCCCAAGGGAGAGGGCAGCUGCUUGUCUCACUGGACUUUUGAAUAUGAGAAGCUAAAUGAGAACGUUCCAGACCCUCAAACGCUGCUUGAGUUUUGGAUCCAUUGCCUCAAAGACAUUGAGGAUCAUCACCUUACCCAGCUACCAACAGCACAGGCAUGAAUGAUCGGUUAGUAUCAUAUGCGUGCAUGCUGCUGCUGCUGUCUUUAAUUUAAAACGUACGACCGCCGGCGUGAAUGAAUAAUAAGAAGCGGUGUGGUGGGGACAGGCCCUUGUUCUUCUAUAUUAAUGUAUGUUAGUAUGUUAAUCUAUCAAUAAACUUGUGUACGUGGGGUCUACUGAAACUCUCUCUGCGUUGCCGUGUGAUUUCAUGUAAAAAGGGCUUUGUGUGAAGUUAAUGCAUGCUUCGAUGUGUGAUUCAAGAUGUUGAAAGUCUCUCCUCCUAUCAUUUUUUAUUCUUUUCAAAAUCAAGAUCGAUUGACAGACGAAAUCAAAUCCACAAGGCCAACCGACUUUUUAGCGUAUAAAAUUAAAAAAAAUCAAUCUAUAUAAACCAGCUAAGAACCUCCUUUGCUUGUGCCCUCAUGAAACCUUACUCUGCCGUUUCAAUCAGUUGUUUAGAAGUGGAAUAGUAGUUUUUAAAGUGAUUUUUAAUUUGAAAAUAUAUUAAAAUAAUAUUUUAUUAUUUUUUAAAAUAUUAUUUUUUAUAUUAGUAUAUUAGAACGUUUAAAAAUAUUAAAAAAUAAUUUAAAAUAAAAAAUAAAUAUUUUAAAAAAUACUUUUAAAACAUAAUAAAAAUCUCUCGAUAUAUAAAUACAAUUCAAAUCUGAAAAGUCCAAAUCUUACAAUCACUCCCACCGACUGCGAGUCCCAAAUACAAAUCCCUCGACCAUUAAAUUAUUGUGAAAGUGGAUGGAUGUGACUUUCACGUGUGAUUGCUUGCAUCUUCUCUUUAUUUUUGUAAUCUAUUUGCUUUAUUUUCUACUCUCUGUUUUUUUUUAAUUCCGUGAUCGGAACAUGAGAAUCCCGUACGAAAUUGGAUGGAUCUUAAUUUGAUUUCAUGAUGGAUUAAAUCGAAUUAAACAAUGUUUUAAGAUAAUUGAUGAAAACUUUCUUUUUAUCCAGGAAUUAAUGAUGUGGGGACAAAUAGUUUGUAAAAUUGAACCCAAAGUCUAAAUAUAUUAUUUAUUUCUCAAUUAUACAUUUCGUGGAUAAUAAAGAAGCAGUGCUCGAUGUGCGGUAGCUAUGAUCUGUACUAAUGGUAAGAAAAUGCCAUUCUAUCUUUGCUUGAACAUCCCCAAUUAUCUUACGUAUCCGAUACCCUAUUAAUUAAUUAAAUGUUCUUAAAUUUAUAAUCGAGAUAAAACACAAACAGCACCACCUUUACAGCAAUCGGUUUGAAUAAAUCCAAGGGCUAAGGUCACGCUACAUACACUUUUGAAAAAAAAUAAUACUUUAAAAAUAAUAAUAAUAAAUAUUUUUUUAAACAAAAAAUACUUUAAAAAAUAACUAUUUACACUCCUAAACAUCUCACAAUGUAAUGUAUAACUUUUAGUAGGAUAAUUAUAAAAAUACAUCAUACUGUAGAAAUAUGUAAUAAUGUUUUUCAUGAUAUAGACUUGCAAAGAAAAUAAUAGGCAAAUGCCUCGUAGACUGGAUAAAUCCAGGUUCUACGAUCUUGAAACUGAACAUAAUCCAGAGAUAAAUUAUUAAUCACGGAUCGAUGUUGGAAUCAUCAUUUUUUUAAUUUAUAUCACAACCUGUACAUAUGAGCCUCAAAAGGUGGUGGACCGCCAUUCGAGUCGGCGAGGCAUCCGUCGCUUACCCAACAGUCUCCGCACGAGUCCACUUCCCAGCCUUCAAGUCGUCCCUCCUGUGCACAUGAGCCUCAAAUAGGUGGUGGAUCGUCAUUUUUUUUUUAUAUCACAACCUGUACAUGUGAGCCUCAAAUAUUUGUGAUGAUUUUGAUUCUUGAGUACAGGGCUUACCAGAAUCCAGGAAAUAACCGGUUCCUUGCUCAUCAACGACACCACUUCGGUCUACAUCAGUGCCAAAAACAAUUAAAAACCUCAACAAUAAGUAAAAUAUAUUUAUUAAUUAUAAUUUAUGAAAUAAAAAUUACUUCCACUUAACAAAAGAAUUCAAAUAUAAAUUGAAGAUUACUCAGGACUCUACUUAUCAGAAUUAUAUAAAAAAUAAUAAAAUUAUUUCUUAAAUAUUUUAAAAAAUCAUUAUUUAUAAUCUUGCUUAAGGUAUUUAUUUACCUUAAGCCGACUCUGAUUCAAGUUGCAAUGGACAUAAAAGGAGUGAAUGAAAUGAUAGUCAAGUGUGUGUUCAGUUUGGGGAAGGAGGGUGGGUGGUGGGCUAUGAAAGUUUGAGUAUAUGGUUAUAAUAUCAGAGUUUUAAUUUUUAGGCUUGCUCAAAGUAAAGGAAUAUCUUUCAUUUUAAUAUAUUUUAAAUUUUAGUUUUUUUUUCAUUAAAAAGAAAAUAAAUUACUAGGACUUUUGUUAUGUUAUGUUGUACAGAAGUUGAGUGAUGGCUUUUUUUUUUUUUUUUGCUAUUUGAGAUUGAAUUGAAUUGUUUUUAUUAAAACAUGAUUGUUUUUGCAUUUUAAAAAUAUUUUUGAAAAUAUAUUUAUUUAUUUUUUAUUUUAAAUUAAUAUUUUUUGAUAUUUUUAUAUUAUUUUAAUGUACUAAUAUAAAAAAUAAAUUUUAAAAAAUAAAAAAUAUAUAUUUUAAAAAACAAUCUGUACUUAAUAAUCUACAUCUGAGACUUUUGUUAUUUUGUUCAAAAGUUCAUACGUGUGUGUCUAUAUACAUACGUGAUAUAUAUAUACGCGCGCGCGCGCGCGUAGCAAUAUUAUCUGAUACAUGAAAAGUUUGAUAUCAUCACCAGUGCACGAUUUUUUAUGCCCUUACAUCUCUCUCUCGCCAGAUACGGAGAUUAUUAUUAGUUAUUUAAAAGAUCAUUUAUUUUGUGGACAAGCUUAUCCCCUCUUACUUAAAUGCCAAACCUGCCCAAGUUGUCGUCAGUAAUUGAAUACUUUUUCUAGGGUAGAAAUCCUUGAUUUAAUAAAUUCAAAUACCUUGUCAUCGGUAAUUUAGUGUUGGGCUACAUUCUUGUCAGGACAAGCACAUUGCAGUGGAUUUUUACUUCGACGGAGAUCAUGUUACCAAGAAGUAUUUGCAAGUGGAGUGCAUAUCUUUUGUGAUGGAUGGUAGAUAUGAUGUUUAAGAAAAAAUGGCGACGUGGACGAUGAAUACCCACGUCUUUAAAAGGAUAAAAUCCCAAAGCAUUUUCCCGACAACUGCUAUAAUUAGUGACAAAUUGAUGUCAUAUUCUAACGAACAGUGGGUAUUAAAAGAGCUUGUUCAACAAUCACAAGACAUAUCUAAGCAAUUAGGUGGACUUGGUUGGCAAAGAUACAAGGAAAUAUUCAAAUAUAUUAAAAAUUCUAAUUACUUAGUUAUUAUUAUAAAUUGAAUAAGAUAGCAAUAUUUUGAUGGAUUCAUUAAUUUUUUUUUAUUAAAAUAGUUUAGUUCUUAUUGGCCGAGCUACCUUGAAUAAACCAAAAAACUUUAUUUUAUUUUAUUCAGAUCCAAUUACUAUGUAAUUCGAUCUUUUUUCCAUUCAAUGAAAGUUUCCAGCUCCACGCUUUAAUUCUCGGGUUUGUUAUAUCUUUCUGACAAGAAUUAGACUGCAGACAUUUCAGUUAACAUGCCCUUAAAAUCUUAUUGGAUUGAGGAGCGAAUUUUAUUAUAACAAAAUGGCCACAUUUCAAAAAUAGUAAGAAUCAUCUAUGUAUUUAUGCAUAAAUGAUACAAAAAAUAUAAAAAAAGGGAGGCGGGGGAGAGAAACCCGCAAGAAAACCAACUAGAUAGAAUUAAAUAUAGAAAACCCUAAAUAAUGUAGGUCAAUAAUUGAUCUCUUCAUUUACUAGUCUAGGUGUAUAGUUAUCCCACGUCUUUAUAAGGACAAGAUCCCAAAGCAUUUUCCGUACAACUGCUAUAAUUGAUUUUGUUUUCUCAAAGCUUACACUGUUUAUAGUUUGAUUACCUACGCAGCAAAAUGACACUCUUCGGUAAGAUGGAGGCUGAAGUAGAGAUCAAGGUUUCUGCUGAAACAUUUCAUGAUAUCUUCAGCUGCAGACCACACCACAUUUCCAAUAUGAGCCCUGCCAAGAUACAGAACGUUGAUCUCCAUGAAGGUGAAUGGGGGAAGCCGGGCACUGUAAUCUGCUGGAGUUAUGUACAUGGUAAGGCUGUGACGUCAUAGAUCAUCCCUGACCGAAAACAUAUUAUGGAUUGCACUGCUCCUUAAUCAUAUAUAUAUAUAUAUAUGAUUACUAACCAUAAGUUUACAUCAUAAUUAGUCUACAAUUUUGUUUAUUUCUUAGAUGGCUUAUAGCAUGAGGAAGUGACUUGGGUUAUUUUUGUAUACGCUCGAUUUGAUCAUUAAUUCUAGAUCAGCUAUGAUCAAUCCAUUGCUGUAGAAAUUUUAUGACUUUCUGGUUGAUGAAAGGUUAACCUCAUAUACAUUUUCAGAAACAAAUUAUUAUAAAGAGUAGCAUGACAUGUCAAGGCAGUGAUUCAUGAGUACUGACAUUUAAUUUAUUUUUUAUGUAAAAAACAUUAAUAGAUGGGGUCGCGAAGACUGCGAAGGAGGUUAUUGAAGCUAUAGACGAUGAGAAGCUGUCAACCACCUUCAAAGUGAUUGAAGGAGAAAUCACCACGGAGUACAAGAACUUCAUAAUUAUCGUUCAAGCUACUCCCAAGGGAGAGGGCAGCUGCUUGGUUCACUGGACUUUUGAAUAUGAGAAGCUAAAUGAGAACGUUCCAGAUCCUCAAACGUUGCUUGAGUUUUGCAUCCAUUGCAGCAAAGAAAUUGAGGAUCAUCACCUUACCCAGCUACCAAUAGCACAGGCAUGAAUGAUCGGUUAGUAUCAUAUGCGUGCAUGCUGCUGCUGCUGUCUUUAAUUUAAAAUGACUCCUCUCAUGAAUGAAUAAUAAGAAGCUGUGUGGUGGAGACAGACGCCUGUUCUUCU